This 301-nucleotide ribosomal RNA is filed under the name uncultured bacterium. RNAcentral's name for it is "partial 16S ribosomal RNA". It matches the Rfam family "Bacterial small subunit ribosomal RNA", at positions 509 to 807 of the family's 1533-position model. The record is from RNAcentral.
CAGUCGCCACGGUAAUACGGAGGGUGCAAGCGUUAAUCGGAAUUACUGGGCGUAAAGCGCACGCAGGCGGUCUGACAAGUCAGAUGUGAAAUCCCCGGGCUUAACCUGGGAACUGCAUUUGAAACUGUCAGGCUGGAGUCUUGUAGAGGGGGGUGGAAUUCUAGGUGUAGCGGUGAAAUGCGUAGAGAUCUGGAGGAAUACCGGUGGCGAAGGCGGCCCCCUGGACAAAGACUGACGCUCAGGUGCGAAAGCGUGGGGAGCAAACAGGAUUAGAUACCCGCGUAGUCCCUGUCUCUUAUAC